This 1178-nucleotide long non-coding RNA is filed under the name Homo sapiens (human). RNAcentral describes it as "long non-coding RNA NONHSAT204384.1". Lineage: Eukaryota; Metazoa; Chordata; Mammalia; Primates; Hominidae. The record is from RNAcentral.
CCGGGAGGAACCUGCGUGUGAAUGAGACGGCUGUCAGCAAGCCUACACUCAAAGGAUUUACCCGGUGCAGAGAGCUCCAAGAGAACACCAGAGCCCCUGGUAUUCUGGUUCACUUGAAUUUGUCCUCCUGCCUAUUCCAUAUUUUUUUCACACAUAUAAUCAUUUGUUUGCAGUCCGGAAAUAUAAAACCAUUCAAGAAACGGAGGCCCAACUAUUGGCUUCCCGAUUAUUCUACCAACUCUACCAAAUCCUUGUUCUUCGUUGCACAAUUAGCUGUGAAACAGACAGAGGUUACCUACAAUAAGUGCAUGUCAUUUUGGACUAGCCAUAUUUCAAGGGCUCAGUAUGGCUAAUGGCCACUAUAUUGGACAUCGACGGUCAAACCCAUUUUACAUUCCCCUGACAACUAUGAUUGGUGUGAGGCCUAUGAUGGCCCAACUAGGCUGACAGCAAAGAUCUUUCCUGUUGGCAAAGAUCAUCUUUCUCUCUCCUGCUGGCAAGAACAAGAAAGAAUAAAGGUCUGAUCAACCCAUGAGCUUUCUUGGGAUUUAUGAGGAGAACCAGACUUUGGAUGAAACUGACAUUGAAAUGAGCAGGAUGGAGAGAAAAAUCCUAGGGGUUUGGUGACAAUACUGGGCUGCUGAUUAAACUUGGAGUUUGCCCUGACUCUGAACUUUCUAUUUAGUGAGAUAAUAAUUGUCUCAAUUGUUUAAGCUAGCUUGUGUUGCUUCCAGCUAAAAGAGUGCCAGCUAUAUACAAUGUGCAAGCUGACAUGUUGUCAUGCUCUGACACUGAUGAACACACCCCCACAAGGCUGUGAAGUAGUAGGGGAAGAACUAACCUGCAUGGAGUUGGAAGGGGGGGAAAAACAAAAUCAAACCAUAUGGAAAGCAGUUGAAUUCACUGCAUUAAAUAUACUUUUUAAAAUGUACAACAUAAUAGCCAUAUGUUUAAGUCAGAAUCAUCUGCAAAGCACGCAUGUUCACUUUCUGUUCCAGAGUCAGGCGUCUGAAUUCUGUGAGCAAAGCCUAGAGAAAAAAAACUAAGCCUAUGCCAGAUUUACAGGAAUAGUUAUCUUUAUAAAGACUAUAUGAACUGUAAUACAAAGUUACAAAGCUGAAGGCAAAGCUUUUCAAUAAAGCAAGUGGCUCUCAAAGAGAUACCUUCAAGAGUGUGGU